Molecule: long non-coding RNA, 3565 nt
Organism: Pezoporus flaviventris
Lineage: Eukaryota; Metazoa; Chordata; Aves; Psittaciformes; Psittacidae
Exons: 4
Source: RefSeq, a predicted model, not a curated record
UCACCUGCACACUUCUAGGGUAUUCUGUGAUCAGUUAAUCUGUACAUUAUCUAUCAGAAGAGAUUAGGUAUAAACACAGUACAUACCUCAGCUUCCCUAUCUUUAAAUGUUGUGAUUUCAUACUACCUUUCCAAAAGUAAGCAUGUUUACUCUGUGUGCCAUACACUGACCUUUUCCUUCAAAACAAACUCAAAUUUGGUAUGUACACAUAGGAUUUACAAUGGGUACAGGUUUAAAACACUUCGCAUGGAUAUUUGCAGUCACUGUUCCAUUCAGCUGACUUCUAACUGUAAUACCACCUAGGUUAGCUUAAAGCAGUUCAGAGACACUCAGUAACACACAUCUAUUUCAGUUCAGUGGAGGCUGCCAGGGGUUAACCCUUCAUCACAACUGCUGCUCUCCUCCCUGCUUUCAUCGAUAAGAAGACAUUCAUGGCGUUAACCUCAGCCUGCUACCCAGUCUCUUUACGCUGCAAGAAUGGAGGGUGAAUGGAUUUUCAUUUUGGCCCUAUCAUGAUAGCUAGGCACAGCUUUAUAAGAUGUUACUGUACUAGAAUGACUUUUUUUGAUAUAGUUUAUUUUAUGCUAGAAGCACUGCAAAUAGCACAAAUCCUCAAUCACCUUUCCCUGUGGUUCAGGUAAGGAAUAAGCACAGAGUACACAAGCUUGUAGUUCCUUCAGUUCACUAGCUGCACGACAUCUGGGUUAAGCCUUCCAGGUCCUAAACCCCAGAACAAUAAAGAGGCCUUUUCUUUAAUCUUCACAACUCACAGUUACUUUCCCUUAACCACAGGGAACGAGUAUUCUAGCCUUGAUUUGUUUUUCACUGUAUUAUUUCUAUUAUGUUGGCUCUCUUUGGCUUUAAAGUAAUACUCAUGUGACCCAUCACACUACCUGUUUGCCAGAAUAUUGUCUCAGCAGGCAUACUCAAUUCAUGAGUCAGAAUCCAAAAUAAUAAUAAGGUGUAAUGUUUUAAGCAAAUGAUUCAGGAGCAUAAAGUGAACACACUUGGGGAAUUUUACCUACUUUGUGUCUGAGGCUUUGGGUUCACAGCCUCUAGCUCUUCCAUAUGACUAUGGGAUCUAGACUGCUUUUAGGGUUUGAUGGUUUGGGGUUUGUUUUAUUUUUUGUUAAUGAAAGCUGAGAUUCUCAUGUAUUCCCACAGUUCUGGAAGUUAGAGCUAGUAAAAACUAUCUCAAGUAAUGAGAGAUUGUAAAAUUACAAGAGCUGUAAACAGCAUUAUCAUGAACGAGUUAAGAGGGUGUUAAGGAACCUGGAAAUGACUUCUUCAUCCCAGCCCUUCAAAGCGGACAGCUAAAGACCUAGGCCUUCUCUUUGUUACUAACAUGAUUCUUACAGUACAAACCCUAACACAGAUGUUUAACGGGAAGGUUUCUGCUCUCCUGCUGUCAUUAAAACUGUUUUUCCCAAAUAAUCUUGAAAGAAAUCAGUGGGUUUCACUGAAACACAUGGAGUUAAGCAUUUCAGAAGCACCCUUGAAUCCCACUAGACAUUUACCUGCAUUUUCUAGUAAACUUUAAAAUCUGGCUUGUACAGAUAAAACAUUUCUUCUACAACAACCACUACACAGCAAGUUAGCCUUCUUAGCCAUGCUACUAUACUUCUAAGCUGUCUUUUUAAAAGCUUAUUUAUACUCCACUGAAAGACCAGCAGAAGACAGCUUCAGGACUGUGAACAGUUUCCAAGAAUUCACGCUUUGCCUUGCAAAUACCUGGUUUACAUACAGAAAGAUCCAGCUUGAUCCUAAAGCACAUCCCUAAAGGAACCAACACGCUCAUAUGCACUUGGCACAGCAGCGUGUAAGCAGCAGCAAGAGAAAACACAAAACAAAUUAAAAUACAUAUGCAAACAGGGCAGGAAUUUCUAAAUUGACCCAAAGCAGCACAGUUUUGAAAUAAGUCAAACACGUAGUACUGAAGGAUUAAAAAACAGGGAUUCCUCUCAGCACGGUGCACUGCAUUAAUUCAAUUCUGCAGAGUUGUGAUUCCUCUCCCUCCAAAAUCAACGGAUGCCAAAACAAGUUGCUAGUACGUGAGGCAACACAUUGAAAGAUUACAGUUCCCAGUCCCAGACUGGCAUGACCUUAUUGUUAGGCAAGGAAAAAAAGCCUCAUCUUAAGAGACAUGGGAGCUUGUCCAUCCUGCUGGGGACACCGUAUCAUACAAUACAUACGUCUGCACUGACGCACGCUAUUUUAUGUUAUAAUCUGUGUAUUUUACGAGCUGGCCACAACACCUUAUGUAACAGACCCCUGUUUAAUAUGGAACAGCAUGUUCCUCGCCGCGGCAAUCCCAGCAGUUUCCCUUGCCCCGAGCAAUUCUGCCCCGCCGGGCUCCUGCUCAGCUACCGCUGGACAGAAAGGCCACUCGGGCAACCGCCGCCAGCCGUUCUUACUUGGGGCGUCGCGCCCCGACCGCUGUAACGGGGCCUCCACGCUGCAAAAGAACCAUUUUGUGAGGCAUGUCAAAGGCUCCCCAGCGAGGCUGUUCAGGCUGGCACGGGGAGGAGGGGGGGGGGAGAUGGUGGGGAAAUGAUUUCUCAACGAGCGACGCCAGCCUGUCCCGGCUUCUUUUGGGCGACACAGGCACUGCCGCGCCGGUGGUGCCUCGGAGGCUCCGCCGCUUCGUGACUCCACUCGGAAGGCGCCCGGGGUGACCGGCCGUCCAGGACCCGCACGAUGCAGAUGGCAGCCGAGCAACUUCGGCUGCUGUUGUGCCGCACACGCACCGAGCGCGGGGUUCAUCACCGGCUCUCUCCGCAGCUCUUACAAACCUCCCUCCGCGGAGCAGGAGCCGGCGCUGUCCGUGGCUGCGGAAGCGCAACCACGGUGACCGGCAACAAGCUCCCCCAGGACCCCGAAACACGGCUGCACCCCCACAAAUUACGUAACAGAGGAGCAUUUCGGGCGGCUCCGACCGGCACCUCCGGUUGCAAAGCCGGGAGGGGGGUGUGUGGGUCUGCCCCCUCGGGAUCCCCGCCCCGGCGGCGGCACUCACCGCCUCCGAGUCUUCAAAUCCAUGCAGGCACUACAGAGAUUUGCAAGUAGCUGAGCUGUGGGGAACUCAGGAACCAUAGCUAGGGCCUUCCAGGGUGGUUUUGAUACAGAGGAGCAGAUUAUCUCCACCUCCUGAGGCAGUACACUCUCACUGCACAAGCACUUCAUGCCACGUGGGGUCUGCACCAGCAGAUCCAGGUUCAGCUGUGACUUGGCACAGGACAAGAUUUCAGGGAUCCCUGGGCACCAACAACCCCCAGCAAAGUCAGAGCAUCUUCAAGAUUUUCCCUGUGCUCUACGACAUCAGGAGAGAAAGCAGAGAGAUCUGCUUAUCAGCGUACCAAGUCUGAGGCUCCAAGGAGACAAAAAGAAGGACCAGCCAGCUCCAAGAUCACCCCCCCCCCAGCCUGCCCAGUUCUACCAGCCUAGGACAUAGAGAGAAGAUAACCCUAUCCCACACUCCAAAGAGAUGCUGGAAAUCCUACAGGCUGCCCUAAAAUGUGCAAACACACACAGGUGGAAAGCACUUAUCAACUGAGCUUAUGAAUUC